Molecule: RNA transcript, 3074 nt
Organism: Chrysemys picta bellii (western painted turtle)
Lineage: Eukaryota; Metazoa; Chordata; Testudines; Emydidae
Gene: TSPAN2
Gene name: tetraspanin 2
Source: RefSeq, a predicted model, not a curated record
UAUGUCAGGGAGGCGCUGGGAGCCUGCAGUGAAGGAGGAAGGCGCAGCAGCCUAGAGAGAACCGGGGAGAAGGAAGGGGGCUGCUCAGGGAGUCCCUGGGAGCGUCCCCCAGCUGCCCGCCCGGACAGGCCAGUGGCUGAGAGGAUGCAAAUGGGAAGCUAGAGCCUUUUCUUUGCAAUCCGGCCCAGGGCGGCCCCGGCUGCGGGCCAGGCUGGCUGCAGCCGCCGCGCACCGACAGGGGGGAGUCGCGGCAAAGCCCUAACCAGCCCCAGCACCGACGCCGGCUGCACGGCACCAGGGGCGGGGUCUGCUCCUGCCCGCCCCCGCCGGGCCAGGCCCCCUCCUCCUUCCCCUGCACCUGCCUCCCGCCGCGCCCCGACUCGCCGGCAGCUCCCGGGGCGCGGAGCCGGAGCCCACCAUGGGCCACCUGCGGGGCGGGAUGCGCUGCAUCAAGUUCCUGCUCUUCGCCUUCAACUUCGUCUUCUGGCUGGCAGGGUUGGCUGUCGUUGCCUUUGGACUAUGGCUGCGAUUUGGUGGGGUCCUGGGAGACUUAACUUCGGAGGAAAAAUCCCCAGAGUACUUCUACAUGGGGCUGUAUGUGCUCGUGGGAGCAGGGGCGUUGAUGAUGACAGUUGGAUUUUUUGGGUGCUGUGGAGCAGUGCGGGAAUCUCAGUGCCUGCUUGGAGCGUUUUUUGCCUGUUUGCUGGUGAUAUUUGCUGCUGAAGUCACUGCUGGAGUGUUUGCAUUUAUAGGCAAAAAAGCGGCAGUACAGGAGGUCCAGACCAUCUAUAAAGAAGCUUAUGAUGACUAUGUGAUGGACGUGGGGAAGAGCAACAAAACUCUCAUUCAGUUCCACACAGUUCUUCAGUGCUGUGGUAAAGAAAGUGAGAUUCAGGUGAAGCCCACCUGUCCAGAGGGCAUCCAGAUGCCCAAGAACUGCCUGGAUGAAAUCCAGAAUUUAAUUAACUCUAAUCUGCAGUUAGUUGGAAUCGUUGGAAUUGGAAUUGCUGGCAUCACAAUCUUUGGCAUGAUAUUCAGCAUGGUUCUCUGCUGUGCUAUCCGCAAUACAAGAGACAUGCUCUAAAACUCACUGCACAAUUUCUAUGCUCCGGGACUUCCAGACUAAACUUUACAAGAUGCAUUCUCUGAGUUUAAUAAUUGUAAUAUAUUUUUGAUUAGUGUUUUAACCAACUGGGAGGAAAAGGCCCCAUUUGCAACAUGGAGUCCGUCUGGAGAUGCCCACUUCUGCUUUUGAGAUGCACCAGUACAAGGACUGGUGCUUGCAGAAACCUUCCUUGCUUGUUUACCUCUAAGUGCCUUUUAGAAACAGAGAAGAGUGCCAGUAAGAAAAUAUAUUUCAAUAAGUUCAGACUUGAAUCAUCUUGCUUUCUAAUGAAAUAGGUUUUUUAUUCUAUACAGUGUGUUCAUAUUUAUAUACGUAACAGUUAUGUGUACUCUGGGUUCCAGUGCUAUCCAGGAAUAUUGGAUGCACUUUGUACUGAAGAUCAGGAACAUAAUGAUACCAGUUUUAUUAGUUUAAUUCUCUGGAUUAUGAUUGUGCAUCAGGCCAGGAAGCAGCAUAUUUAAAAUGUCUAUCAGUGCCUUUAACAGUGUGGCCUUCCCAUCUCGCCAUUUCAUGCUGUUGUUUUGUAGACAGUAUAUUACUGUAUUAGUAACAGUUUCCUCUAUCUUGUAUUAGCAUUUGAAGGACAUUUUACCCUUAUCCAGUGGUUACUAGCAACAGAAGGUGAAAUUACUAUUCUCUCUGCCCCUUAUAAUAAUUAUUAGGAUUCUUCUGUAGUGCUUUACAAGCAAUAACUAAUUAGACCCUUCCUUGGCAUUUCUGUGGCUGGACUGAGCAAUCCUGUUUAUAGUUCAGUUGUGGUUGAGCUAUAAAUCCAACCCUGACAUCUGGGAAGAAAAGUACCCACAGUUUCUGUGGAAAUAUUCCCCAUUCAUUGUGCUGCUUCCCCUUUGGUUUAAAUCUGGCACUCUCAUUUUAUUCCCAAGCUCUGCACUUCUGCCAGAUGGCCCAGCACUCUUCCCAACAUGCUCCAUCUGGCUGUGAGAAGGAAACUUUCUAUGGCAUCUGAAUCAAAACCACCAAAAAAUAUAGUCUGUGCUAGAAAAUCAGCACAUCAGGAUUGAAUUCACUCAACCCAAUUCUGUCCUCAGAUACAUACAUGCACGAGAACAUCCAAGGCGCCAAUAAGAUCAGGGUUCCCGCUAGACCAGUAUCCUGUCUCUGACAGUGGCCAGUACCAGCUACUUCAGAGAAAGGGGCCAGAAACAUCUGUAGCAAGCAGCAGCCAGUAAGGGAAGUUUCUUCCUAUUCCCAUCAAUUGGCUUAUUAUUCUCAUUAUUCAUAUAAUUGUCUAACAUUUUUUUAAUUGUACUGAGCUCCUGAAAUUCUCAUUGACCUCUGUAGGAGCCACAUGUGCAUAUUUGAGGGCAGAAUUUGACUAGUUUUGGUAGCCUUCUGGGGCCAAGCAGGACCUGAGUGGAGUAGAUCCCUGGAAUAUCCACGCAAUAAAGAGCUGUGUUUCAUUUCCAGUUGUCCUACUGGAAACAAGUGGGAUUGUUUCAUGGCAAAAUCUAUUCUAUCCGUACUGAAAAAGAAACAGAACUGUUAUCUGAACCCUUUUAAACCCACUUUUUGUGGCCUUUGGGAGACUAACUCCUUUAAAUUUUAUUCUUAUUAAAUGUACAUUAUAAACACAGCUCACCGUCAAAUCCUUUCCCCUUCUGUGUUGGUGCAUUACAAUGCUCCUCCCUGCUAGACCAGGAUUGUCUGAGCCACCCAUUUCCAAUAUCGAAUGCUUCUUCCUGUAUUCCAAGUGCUAACAUUAGGCAGGACUGGGACAUCAUGUUAUUGUUGUAGAGCCUAUGAGGGCAAGAGCAUUUGUCUAUAUGAGAGUUUCCCUGAGUUGUAAAUGUUGGUCAGGUGAUUGUGCUGUUGCUGAAACUAGUUUUCAUUUGACAUGUUCUGAACUGGCUUUUAUCGACUUUUCUGUACUGAAUUUAAAGAUUCUAAUAAAAAAUAACCUGAAAUAAAAGAGAAGUGGAGGAAACAA